Molecule: ribosomal RNA, 253 nt
Filed under: uncultured bacterium
Lineage: Bacteria
Description: partial 16S ribosomal RNA
Rfam family: Bacterial small subunit ribosomal RNA
Source: RNAcentral
UACGUAGGUGGCAAGCGUUAUCCGGAAUCAUUGGGUUUAAAGGGUCCGUAGGCGGUUUAGUAAGUCAGUGGUGAAAGCCCAUCGCUCAACGGUGGAACGGCCAUUGAUACUGCUGAACUUGAAUUAUUAGGAAGUAACUAGAAUAUGUAGUGUAGCGGUGAAAUGCUUAGAGAUUACAUGGAAUACCAAUUGCGAAGGCAGGUUACUACUAAUUGAUUGACGCUGAUGGACGAAAGCGUGGGGAGCGAACAGG